RNAcentral lists this ribosomal RNA (352 nucleotides) under Rhantus atricolor. RNAcentral's name for it is "partial 12S ribosomal RNA". Lineage: Eukaryota; Metazoa; Arthropoda; Insecta; Coleoptera; Dytiscidae. The record is from RNAcentral.
UUUAAAUGUAAAUUAUUAUACUAAAGUAGUAAUAGUUAAGUUCUUUAAAUUUAAAGAUUUUGGCGGUAUUUUAGUCUAUUCAGAGGAACCUGUUCUGUAAUUGAUAGUCCACGAUUAAUUUGACUUAAUUUAUUAAUUUGUAUAUCGUCGUUUAUAAAUGAUUUUAGAAGAAUUUAAAUUUUUAAGAUUUUUAAUUAAAAAAUAUAUCAGAUCAAGGCGCAGUUUAUAAUUAAGAAGAAAUGGGUUACAAUAAAUUUAUUUAUAUGGAUUAAUAUGUGAAAUAGUAUUAUAAAGGAGGAUUUGAUAGUAAUAAGAUUUAAUUAAAUUUUAUGAUUUUAGCUCUAAAAUAUGU